UGGGGAAUAUUGGACAAUGGGCGAAAGCCUGAUCCAGCCAUGCCGCGUGUGUGAAGAAGGUCUUCGGAUUGUAAAGCACUUUAAGUUGGGUGGAAGGGCAGUAAGCGAAUACCUUGCUGUUUUGACGUUACCGACAGAAUAAGCACCGGCUAACUCUGUGCCAGCAGCCGCGGUAAUACAGAGGGUGCAAGCGUUAAUCGGAAUUACUGGGCGUAAAGCGCGCGUAGGUGGUUCGUUAAGUUGAAUGUGAAAGCCCCGGGCUCAACCUGGGAACUGCAUCCAAAACUGGCGAGCUAGAGUAGGGCAGAGGGUGGUGGAAUUUCCUGGGUAGCGGUGAAAUGCGUAGAUAUAGGAAGGAACACCAGUGGCGAAGGCGACCACCUGGGCUCAUACUGACACUGAGGUGCGAAAGCGUGGGGAGCAAACAGG
This 429-nucleotide ribosomal RNA is filed under the name Pseudomonadota bacterium. Its description in RNAcentral is "Proteobacteria bacterium partial 16S ribosomal RNA". It matches the Rfam family "Bacterial small subunit ribosomal RNA", at positions 355 to 776 of the family's 1533-position model. Lineage: Bacteria; Pseudomonadati; Pseudomonadota. The record is from RNAcentral.